GUGGGGAAUCUUCCGCAAUGGACGAAAGUCUGACGGAGCAACGCCGCGUGAGUGAAGAAGGUUUUCGGAUCGUAAAGCUCUUUCGUUAGGGACGAACGUGCUCUUUGUGAAUAAUGAGGAGUAAUGAUGGUACCUAAAUAAGAAGCCACGGCUAACUACUUGCCAGCAGCCGCGGUAAUACGUAGGUGGCAAGCGUUGUCCGGAAUUAUUGGGCGUAAAGCGCGCGCAGGCGGGAUAUCAAGUCUGUCUUAAAAGUGCGAGGCUCAACCUCGUGAGGAGACAGAAACUGGUAUUCUUGAAUGUCGGAGAGGAAAGUGGAAUUCCAAGUGUAGCGGUGAAAUGCGUAGAGAUUUGGAAGAACACCAGUGGCGAAGGCGACUUUCUGGACGAUGUCUGACGCUGAGGCGCGAAAGCUAGGGGAGCGAACGGGAUUAGAUACCCGUGUAGUCC
This 450-nucleotide ribosomal RNA is filed under the name uncultured bacterium. RNAcentral's name for it is "partial 16S ribosomal RNA". It matches the Rfam family "Bacterial small subunit ribosomal RNA", at positions 354 to 796 of the family's 1533-position model. The record is from RNAcentral.